AGUGAACGCUGGCGGUAGGCCUAACACAUGCAAGUCGAACGGCAGCACAGUAAGAGCUUGCUCUUACGGGUGGCGAGUGGCGGACGGGUGAGGAAUACAUCGGAAUCUACUUUUUCGUGGGGGAUAACGUAGGGAAACUUACGCUAAUACCUCAUACGACCUACGGGUGAAAGCAGGGGAUCUUCGGACCUUGCGCGACUGAAUGAGCCGAUGUCGGAUUAGCUAGUUGGCGGGGUAAAGGCCCACCAAGGCGACGAUCCGUAGCUGGUCUGAGAGGAUGAUCAGCCACACUGGAACUGAGACACGGUCCAGACUCCUACGGGAGGCAGCAGUGGGGAAUAUUGGACAAUGGGCGCAAGCCUGAUCCAGCCAUACCGCGUGGGUGAAGAAGGCCUUCGGGUUGUAAAGCCCUUUUGUUGGGAAAGAAAAGAAGCAGGUUAAUACCCCGCUGUUCUGACGGUACCCAAAGAAUAAGCACCGGCUAACUUCGUG
RNAcentral lists this ribosomal RNA (492 nucleotides) under uncultured bacterium. Its description in RNAcentral is "partial 16S ribosomal RNA". It matches the Rfam family "Bacterial small subunit ribosomal RNA", at positions 29 to 507 of the family's 1533-position model. The record is from RNAcentral.